UACGAAGGGGGCUAGCGUUGCUCGGAAUCACUGGGCGUAAAGGGUGCGUAGGCGGGUUCUUAAGUCAGAGGUGAAAUCCUGGAGCUCAACUCCAGAACUGCCUUUGAUACUGAGAGUCUUGAGUUCGGGAGAGGUGAGUGGAACUGCGAGUGUAGAGGUGAAAUUCGUAGAUAUUCGCAAGAACACCAGUGGCGAAGGCGGCUCACUGGCCCGAUACUGACGCUGAAGCACGAAAGCGUGGGGAGCAAACAGG
Molecule: ribosomal RNA, 253 nt
Filed under: uncultured bacterium
Lineage: Bacteria
Description: partial 16S ribosomal RNA
Rfam family: Bacterial small subunit ribosomal RNA
Source: RNAcentral